AUUAAGUAAAUAAAAAAAGAGCAUUUGGUGGAUGCCUUGGCGUUAGAAGGCGAUGAAGGACGUGAUACGCUGCGAUAAGCUUCGGGGAGCUGCGAAUAAGCUUUGAUCCGAAGAUUUCCGAAUGGGGAAACCCACUUAUUUAUAAGUAUUGCAUAGUGAAUACAUAGCUAUGUGAGGCAAACCCAGUGAACUGAAAUAUCUCAGUAGCUGGAGGAAAGGACAUCAACAGAGACUCCGUUAGUAGUGACGAGCGAACGCGGACCAGGCCAGUAGCUUAAAAGUAAAAACUAGAAUAAUCUGGAAAGAUUAGCCAUAGAGGGUGAUAGCCCCGUAUAGGUAAAAAGCUUUUAAGUUCUCGAGUAAGGCGGGACACGUGAAAUCCUGUCUGAAUAUGGGGGGACCACCCUCCAAGCCUAAGUACUCUCUAACGACCGAUAGUGAACAAGUACCGUGAGGGAAAGGUGAAAAGAACCCCGACAAGGGGAGUGAAAUAGACCUGAAACUGAAUGCUUACAAGCAGUCGGAGCAGACUUGUUCUGUGACGGCGUACCUUUUGUAUAAUGGGUCAGCGACUUAGUUUAUCGAGCAAGCUUAAGCCGUUAGGUGUAGGCGUAGCGAAAGCGAGUCUUAAUAGGGCGCAACAAAGCUUUGUGCUUUUUUAGUUCGAUGAAUUAGACCCGAAACCGGGUGAUCUAGCCAUGGCCAGGCUGAAGGUGGAGUAAUAUCCGCUGAAGGGCCGAACCCACUAAUGUUGAAAAAUUAGGGGAUGAGCUGUGGUUAGGGGUGAAAGGCCAAUCAAACUCGGAUAUAGCUGGUUCUCCGCGAAAUCUAUUUAGGUAGAGCGUUAUAGCGAUUACCAUCGAAGGUAGAGCACUGGAUGAGCUAGGGGGUCAUACAGACUUACCAAACUCAACCAAACUCCGAAUGUCGAUGAGUACAGCAUAGCAGACAGACCAUGGGUGCUAAGGUCCAUGGUCAAGAGGGAAACAGCCCAGACCGCCAUCUAAGGUCCCCAAAUCAUGACUAAGUGUUAAAGGAUGUGAAAGGACCAAAACAACUAGGAUGUUGGCUUAGAAGCAGCCAUCAUUUAAAGAAAGCGUAAUAGCUCACUAGUCUAAAUAAGUUCUCUUGCGCCGACAAUGUAACGGGGCUCAAGUCAUGUACCGAAGAUGCGGAUUUGUAUGUAUGUAAUAUGACAUACAAGUGGUAGCGGAGCGUUCCGUAGGCCUGUGAAGGCAAACUGCGAGGUUUGCUGGAGGUAUCGGAAGUGAGAAUGCUGACAUAAGUAGCGAUAAAGAAUGUGAGAGACAUUCUCGCCGAAAGUCCAAGGGUUCCUUGCUUAAAGUUAAUCUGAGCAGGGUUAGUCGGCCCCUAAGGCGAGGCUGAAAGGCGUAGUCGAUGGGAAUCAGGUUAAUAUUCCUGAACCUGGGGGUGGUGACGAAGAUAGGAAAUUGUCUAGACUUAUUGGAUUGUUUAGGCAAUAAAUAUCUUCCAGGAAAUAGCCCCCUCAUUAAAGACCGUACCCGAAACCGACACAGGUGGACAGGUAGAGUAUACCAAGGCGCUUGAGAGAACGAUGCUGAAGGAACUAGGCAAAUUGCAUCUGUAACUUUGGGAGAAGGAUGACCUAUAAAUGGGCAACCAUUUAUAGGUGGCACAAACUAGGGGGUAGCGACUGUUUAUUAAAAACACAGGGCUCUGCAAAGUCAAUAGACGAAGUAUAGGGUCUGACGCCUGCCCAGUGCCGGAAGAUUAAAAGGAGGGGUGCAAGCUCUGAAUUGAAGUCCCGGUGAACGGCGGCCGUAACUAUGACGGUCCUAAGGUAGCGAAAUUCCUUGUCGGGUAAGUUCCGACCUGCACGAAUGGCGUAACGACUUCCCCACUGUCUCCAGUAUCGACUCAGCGAAAUUGAAUUCUCCGUGAAGAUGCGGAGUUCCCGCGGUUAGACGGAAAGACCCCAUGAACCUUUACUAUAGCUUUGCACUGGUGUUAGAAAUUAGAUGUGCAGGAUAGGUGGGAGACUAUGAAGCAGUGGCGCUAGCCAUUGUGGAGUCACCCUUGAGAUACCACCCUUUUGAUUUUUGAUAUCUAACUGAGCUCCUUGAAUCAGGAGCCGGGACAAUGCAUGGUGGGUAGUUUGACUGGGGCGGUCGCCUCCCAAAGAGUAACGGAGGCGCGCGAUGGUUAGCUCAAGUUGGUCGGAAAUCAACUGUUAGAGUGCAAUGGCAUAAGCUAGCCUGACUGCGAGUCUGACAAGACGAGCAGAGACGAAAGUCGGUCAUAGUGAUCCGGUGGUCCCGAGUGGAAGGGCCAUCGCUCAACGAAUAAAAGGUACUCUGGGGAUAACAGGCUGAUGAUUUCCAAGCGUCCAUAGCGACGAAAUCGUUUGGCACCUCGAUGUCGGCUCAUCACAUCCUGGGGCUGAAGAAGGUCCCAAGGGUUCGGCUGUUCGCCGAUUAAAGUGGUACGUGAGCUGGGUUUAGAACGUCGUGAGACAGUUCGGUCCCUAUCUGCCGUGGGUGUAGGAAGUUUGAGAGGAUCUGCCUUUAGUACGAGAGGACCGAGGUGGACGUACCUCUGGUGGACCAGUUGUCGCGCCAGCGGCAUAGCUGGGUAGCUAAGUACGGAAGGGAUAACCGCUGAAUGCAUAUAAGCGGGAAACCCACCUCAAAACUAGACUUCCCUAUUAGAGCCGUGGAAGACCACCACGUUGAUAGGCCAGGUGUGGAAGCACAGUAAUGUGUGUAGCUAACUGGUACUAAUAGCUCGAUUGAUUUACUUUGCUGAGAUUACAU
RNAcentral lists this ribosomal RNA (2795 nucleotides) under Rickettsiaceae bacterium. Its description in RNAcentral is "23S ribosomal RNA". It matches the Rfam family "Bacterial large subunit ribosomal RNA". Lineage: Bacteria; Pseudomonadati; Pseudomonadota; Alphaproteobacteria; Rickettsiales; Rickettsiaceae. The record is from RNAcentral.